Molecule: non-coding RNA, 46 nt
Organism: Schistosoma haematobium
Lineage: Eukaryota; Metazoa; Platyhelminthes; Trematoda; Strigeidida; Schistosomatidae
Source: Rfam
GCACUUCUGAAGAGUCUCACAAUAAAACGAAACGGUCGUCCUGUGC